UUGCCCGUAGUCUAGCGGCAUGACAUCGCCCUGACGAGCCCGAAUCGUGGGUUCAAAUCCCACCGGGCCCA
RNAcentral lists this transfer RNA (71 nucleotides) under Thermoprotei archaeon. RNAcentral describes it as "tRNA-Val". It matches the Rfam family "tRNA". From Rfam's summary of the family: Transfer RNA (tRNA) molecules are approximately 80 nucleotides in length. Their secondary structure includes four short double-helical elements and three loops (D, anti-codon, and T loops). Further hydrogen bonds mediate the characteristic L-shaped molecular structure. tRNAs have two regions of fundamental functional importance: the anti-codon, which is responsible for specific mRNA codon recognition, and the 3' end, to which the tRNAs corresponding amino acid is attached (by aminoacyl-tRNA synthetases). tRNAs cope with the degeneracy of the genetic code in two manners: having more than one tRNA (with a specific anti-codon) for a particular amino acid; and 'wobble' base-pairing, i.e. permitting non-standard base-pairing at the 3rd anti-codon position. The record is from RNAcentral. Lineage: Archaea; Thermoproteati; Thermoproteota; Thermoprotei.